Molecule: unclassified non-coding RNA, 172 nt
Filed under: soil metagenome
Description: partial contains 5.8S ribosomal RNA, internal transcribed spacer 2, and large subunit ribosomal RNA
Source: RNAcentral
AACCAUAGAAACCUGCGGAGUACCUGCGGCAGGAUCAUUAAAGAUUGACCGAAAGGUCUUAUCUCUAUAUCCCUCACCUCUGUGAACUGUGGACCUCCGGGUCUAUUUAACAAACAUCAGUGUAAUGAACGUAUAUAUCAUUAAACAAAACAAAACUUUUAACAAUGGAUCU